AUAGCAUGGUGUGGACAUUUACGAAUGAGAUCCUAAAGUCUCUCUCAUGUUUUAUGAAACAAUUCUCCAUCCUUCUGAAAAAAAUUAGUGAUGGCUUUCUUAAUUU
This is a small nucleolar RNA of Elaeis guineensis (African oil palm), 106 nucleotides long. The record is from RefSeq and is a predicted model, not a curated record. Lineage: Eukaryota; Viridiplantae; Streptophyta; Magnoliopsida; Arecales; Arecaceae.